CACGGACCCAGGCCCUAUGGGGCGCAGCAGGCGAGAAACCUUAGCAAUGUGCGAAAGCACGACUAGGUUAAUCCGAGUGAUUUCUGUUGAAGAAAUCUUUUGUCAGUCGUAAAACCACAGACGAACAAGGGGUGGGCAAGUCUGGUGUCAGCCGCCGCGGUAAUACCAGCACCUCGAGUGGUCAGGAGGUUUAUUGGGCCUAAAGCAUCCGUAGCCGGCUUUGCAAGUCUCCGGUUAAAUCCAGCUGCUCAACAGAUGGGCUGCCGGAGAUACUACAAAGCUAGGGAGCGGGAGAGGCAGACGGUAUUCUGUGGGUAGGGGUAAAAUCCACUGAUCCAUAGAGGACCACCAGUGGCGAAGGCGGUCUGCCAGAACGCGUUCGACGGUGAGGGAUGAAAGCUGGGGGAGCAAACCGGAUUAGAUACCCGGGUAGUCCCAGCUGUAAACGAUGCAAACUCGGUGAUGCAUUGGCUUAUGGCCAAUGCAGUGCCGCAGGGAAGCCGUUAAGUUUGCCGCCUGGGAAGUACGGACGCAAGUCUGAAACUUAAAGGAAUUGGCGGGGGAGCACCACAAGGGGUGAAGCCUGCGGUUCAAUUGGAGUCAACGCCGGA
This 611-nucleotide ribosomal RNA is filed under the name uncultured archaeon. RNAcentral's name for it is "bacterial SSU rRNA". It matches the Rfam family "Archaeal small subunit ribosomal RNA", at positions 309 to 922 of the family's 1478-position model. The record is from RNAcentral.